GAUGAACGCUGGCGGCGUGCCUAAUACAUGCAAGUCGAGCGAACAGACGAGGAGCUUGCUCCUCUGACGUUAGCGGCGGACGGGUGAGUAACACGUGGAUAACCUACCUAUAAGACUGGGAUAACUUCGGGAAACCGGAGCUAAUACCGGAUAAUAUAUUGAACCGCAUGGUUCAAUAGUGAAAGACGGUUUUGCUGUCACUUAUAGAUGGAUCCGCGCCGCAUUAGCUAGUUGGUAAGGUAACGGCUUACCAAGGCAACGAUGCGUAGCCGACCUGAGAGGAUGAUCGGCCACAGUGGAACUGAGACACGGCCCAGACUCCGACGGGGGGCAGAAGUGGGGAAUCUUGGACAAGGGGCGAAAUCCGGACGCAGCACCGCCGCGGGAGGGAAAAAGGUCUUCGGAUCGUAAAACUCUUUUAUGGGGAAAGAAAAGAAGUAGAUGUAUAUAUCCCUGUUUGGACGGUACCUAAAAAAAAAACACCGGCUAACUUCGUG
This 497-nucleotide ribosomal RNA is filed under the name uncultured bacterium. Its description in RNAcentral is "partial 16S ribosomal RNA". It matches the Rfam family "Bacterial small subunit ribosomal RNA", at positions 28 to 507 of the family's 1533-position model. The record is from RNAcentral.